Molecule: ribosomal RNA, 331 nt
Filed under: uncultured bacterium
Lineage: Bacteria
Description: bacterial SSU rRNA
Rfam family: Bacterial small subunit ribosomal RNA
Source: RNAcentral
CGUGCAGGCGGUUCGGCAAGUCGGACGUGAAAGCUCCUGGCUCAACUGGGAGAGGCCGUUCGAGACUACCAGACUAGAGGGCAGUAGAGGGAGGUGGAAUUCCGGGUGUAGCGGUGAAAUGCGUAGAUAUCCGGAGGAACACCAGUGGCGAAAGCGGCCUCCUGGACUGCCCCUGACGCUUAGACGCGAAAGCUAGGGGAGCGAACGGGAUUAGAAACCCCGGUAGUCCUAGCCGUAAACGAUGCGGACUUGGUGUUGGUGGCUUAAACUCCAUCAGUGCCGAAGCUAACGCGAUAAGUCCGCCGCCUGGGGACUACGGCCGCAAGGUUAA